Molecule: small RNA, 1120 nt
Filed under: Pan troglodytes (chimpanzee)
Lineage: Eukaryota; Metazoa; Chordata; Mammalia; Primates; Hominidae
Description: retained intron
Source: RNAcentral
AUGAUAUUCACUUUCAUGACAAGAAAAUCCUGUUGCUCGAAGCAGGUCCAAAGAAAGUACUGGAGAAAUUGUCAGAAACUUACAGCAACAGGGUCAGCUCCAUUUCCCCUGGCUCUGCAACGCUUCUCAGUAGUGUGGGACGCCUGCUCAGAGGCCCUGAUAAUGUUUGAUAAGGAUAAUUUAGAUGACAUGGGCUAUAUCGUGGAGAAUGAUGUCAUCAUGCAUGCUCUCACUAAGCAGUUGGAGGCUGUGUCUGGUGAGGCCCCCAUCUUCCAUCUUGCAUUCAUUGGGAAGUGAACUGCUUAGGACUUACUGGAAGAAAGGAUCUCUUUUACAAUAUUCAGUGUCCACCAUAAAGAAAUCCUCUGAUGGCCGGGUGCGGUGGCUCACGCCUGUAAUCCCAGCACUUUUGGAGGCUAAGGCGGGCGGAUCACGAGGUCAGGAGAUGGAGACCAUCCUGGCUAACAUGGUGAAACCCUGUCUCUACUAAAAAUACAAAGAAACAAUUAGCCGGGCAUGGUGGCGGGCGCCUAUAGACCCAGCUACUCGGGAGGCUGAGGCAGGAGAAUGGCGUGAACCCAGGAGGUGGAGCUUGCAGUGAGCCGAGAUCACGCCACUGCACUCCAGCCUGGGCGACAGAGCAAGACUCCGUCUCAAAAAAAAAAAAAAAAAUUCCUCUGAUGAUUAUUUCACGGUGCUGGAUACUUAGAAGUGGAAUUGCUGGGUCAUAUAAUAAUUCUAUGUUUAAUAUUUUCAGAAGCUGCCAAACUUUUCUGAAGAGGCUAUACAAUUUCACUUUCCCACCAGUCUAUAAGGGUUCCAGUUUCUCCACAUCCUCACCAACGCUUAUUUUCCUUCUGUAAAAAAAAAACCGUAGCCAUCCUGUUGAGAGUGAAGUGGUAUCUCAUUGUAGUAGUGGUUGCAUUUCCUUAAUAACUAAUGAUGCUGAGUAUCUUUUCAUGUCCUUACUGGCCAUUUGUGUAUCCACUUUGGAGAAAUGUCUGUUCAAAAUAUUUUGCCUGUUUUUAAAUUGGAUUAUUUGUUUUUGAGUUAUAGGAGUUCUUUAUAUAUUUUAAAUAUAAAUUUAUCAGUUAUGCGGUUUGCAAAUAUCUUAAUGUUC